RNAcentral lists this transfer RNA (77 nucleotides) under Bacillota bacterium. RNAcentral's name for it is "Firmicutes bacterium (anaerobic digester metagenome) tRNA-Met". It matches the Rfam family "tRNA". From Rfam's summary of the family: Transfer RNA (tRNA) molecules are approximately 80 nucleotides in length. Their secondary structure includes four short double-helical elements and three loops (D, anti-codon, and T loops). Lineage: Bacteria; Bacillati; Bacillota. The record is from RNAcentral.
CGCGGGGUGGAGCAGUUCGGUAGCUCGUCGGGCUCAUAACCCGGAGGUCGCUGGUUCAAAUCCAGCCCCCGCAACCA